Molecule: ribosomal RNA, 492 nt
Filed under: uncultured bacterium
Lineage: Bacteria
Description: partial 16S ribosomal RNA
Rfam family: Bacterial small subunit ribosomal RNA
Source: RNAcentral
AGUGAACGCUGGCGGUAGGCCUAACACAUGCAAGUCGAACGGCAGCACAGUAAGAGCUUGCUCUUACGGGUGGCGAGUGGCGGACGGGUGAGUAAUACAUCGGAAUCUACUUUUUCGCGGGGGAUAACGUAGGGUAACUUACGCUAAUACCGCAUACGACCUACGGGUGAAAGCAGGGGAUCUUCGGACCUUGCGCGAUUGAAUGAGCCGAUGUCGGAUUAGCUAGUUGGCGGGGUAAAGGCCCACCAAGGCGACGAUCCGUAGCUGGUCUGAGAGGAUGAUCAGCCACACUGGAACUGAGACACGGUCCAGACUCCUACGGGAGGCAGCAGUGGAGAAUAUUAGACAAUGGGCGCGAGCCUGAUCCAGCCAUACCGCGUGGGUGAAGAAGGACUUAGGGUUGUAAAGCCCUUUUGUUGGGAAAGAAAAGCAGCAGGUUAAUACCCCACUGUUCUGACGGUACCCAAAGAAUAAGCACCGGCUAACUUCGUG